Zingiber officinale is the source of this 1200-nucleotide RNA transcript. It is a transcript of the gene named deSI-like protein At4g17486, with no coding region annotated. The record is from RefSeq and is a predicted model, not a curated record. The transcript is spliced from 3 exons. NCBI's taxonomy places the organism in Eukaryota, Viridiplantae, Streptophyta, Magnoliopsida, Zingiberales, Zingiberaceae.
UAUUGCUUAAAGUUAUAUAUAUCGAAGUAUAUUCUUCUCUACUUUGCAUCUUAUUGUUCAAGUUUCCCUCUGAAAAGUAUAUCCUUCUCUAAACCAACUCCGUUGGACACGGGUCACACGGCACUAUCUCCGCUCCAUUCCCAAAAGUACUUGUAGGUCUUCGUUGAUGGUCGAGGUUCUCAUCGCCGCUCCCAAUGCCGCGUAGGCUGCCGCUGCCGCUGCCUCUAUGAUCGUCUUUCCUCCUUCCCGCCUACUACGGACCAUGUUCACCCGGAGGGUCUCGCGAGAGUGGAGGCCAGCGGCGUCGACGCCCGUCUUCCUCAACGUCUACGACCUCUCCCCCAUCAACGGCUACGCCUACUGGCUCGGCCUUGGCGCGUAUCACUCCGGCGUCCAAGUGCACGGGGUGGAGUACGCCUAUGGGGCACACGAGCACGCCGCGACAGGGAUCUUUGAGGGGGAGCCGCGCCGUUGCCCGGGGUUCGUUUUCCGGAAGGCGAUCCUCAUCGGGCGCACCGAUAUGGGGCCGCGCGAGGUGCGGGCGCUCGUGGAGGACAUGGCAGCGGAAUACUCCGGCAGCGCCUACAACCUAAUCUCCAAGAAUUGCAACCACUUCUGUGACGACGCCUGUUUCCGCCUCACCGGCAAAUCCAUCCCCAAGUGGGUCAACCGUCUAGCCAAAAUAGGUUCUCGACGUCGUCCCGUUUCCCUUUCCCCUCAACCCAGCGAUUUUCUUUAUUUUUUUUUUGAUCUCCCCGUUCGUUGUCAAUGGAAUGAUUUUUCCGCACUAGGGUUCCUAUGCAAGUGCGUGCUUCCCACCAGAGUGGCGGAGGUGCGGAGGCGCGGGGCGUACGAUGAGCAUGGCGUCCUGCAAGCCGACAAGUGGCGACCGAGGAGCAACUCCGCCAGAUUCCCUCCGGCGAUCACCGCGACGCCCCGCAGCAACAUAUCGCAGCCUACGGUCACCAUCUCCUCCCUAUCGGAGGGGCGAAGGAAGCUCAGGCGCUCCGCCUCGCUGUCCUCCGCCGUAGGUGAAAGUUCGUCGUUAGCCGCGUAAACGCCGGCGGCGGCGAUUUUUUCAUCUUCGUCCUCGGGUCAACCCUUCUUGGGCCACCAGAAGGAACUGGCGCCAUGAAAUGCUACUACUGCCCGUCAAAGUGUAAACACUAUGGUACGGUUGUUGAACGCUCGUUGUCUCCA